AUUGAACGCUGGCGGCAUGCCUUACACAUGCAAGUCGAACGGCAGCACGGGAGCAAUCCUGGUGGCGAGUGGCGAACGGGUGAGUAAAGGAUCGGAACGUGCCCAGUCGUGGGGGAUAAGGUAGCGAAAGUUACGCUAAUACCGCAUACGAUCUAUGGUUGAAAGCGGGGGAUCGCAAGACCCCGCGCGAUUGGAGCGGCCGAUAGCAGAUUAGGUAGUUGGUGGGGUAAAGGCUCACCAAGGCGACGAUCUGUAGCUGGUCUGAGAGGAAGACCAGGCAAACUGGGACUGAGACACGGCCCAGACUCCUACGGGGGGCAGCAGUGGGGAAUUUUGGACAAUGGGCGAAAGCCUGAUCCAGCCAUGCCGCGUGCAGGAUGAAGGCCUUCGGGUUGUAAACUGCUUUUGUACGGAACGAGAAGGUUUGGCCUAAUAAGCUGAGCUCAUGACGGUACCGUAAGAAUAAGCACCGGCUAACUACGUGCCAGCAGCCGCCGUAA
Molecule: ribosomal RNA, 500 nt
Filed under: uncultured bacterium
Lineage: Bacteria
Description: partial 16S ribosomal RNA
Rfam family: Bacterial small subunit ribosomal RNA
Source: RNAcentral